Molecule: ribosomal RNA, 345 nt
Filed under: uncultured prokaryote
Description: bacterial SSU rRNA
Rfam family: Bacterial small subunit ribosomal RNA
Source: RNAcentral
AGAACGAACGCUGGCGGCGUGCCUAACACAUGCAAGUCCAACGUGAAAGGGGAGCAAUCCCCCGGUAGGGUGGCAAACGGGUGAGUAAGACAUGGGUGAUCUACCUUAGGGAUGGGGAUAUCCUUACCGAAAGGAGGGCAAUACCGAAUAUUGUCCGGGGCCAUGGAAGGGGUUACCGGGGAAAGGGGAGGCCUCUGAUACAAGCUUUCGCCUUAAGAUGAGCCCAUGGCCCAUCAGCUAGUUGGUAGGGUAAAGGCCUACCAAGGCUACGACGGGUCGCUGGUCUGAGAGGACGACCAGCCACACUGGCACUGAGAUACGGGCCAGACUCCUACGGGGAGCAGC